CCAAUAGCGUAUAUUAAAGUUGUUGCAGUUAAAAAGCUCGUAGUUGAAUUUCGGGACCAAUAUGUCGGUCGUGCCUCGGUACGUACUGGUAUUAUUGGUUUCUCCCUUCUGAAGAACCAUGAUGCCAUUAAUUUGGUGUCAUGGGGAAUCAGGACUGUUACUUUGAAAAAAUUAGAGUGUUUAAAGCAGGCUCGCGCUUGAAUACAUUAGCAUGGAAUAAUGAAAUAGGACGUUUGAUUCUAUUUUGUUGGUUUCUAGGAUCGACGUAAUGAUUAAUACGGAUAGUUGGGUGCAUUAGUAUUCAAUUGUCAGAGGUGAAAUUCUUGGAUUUAUUGAAGACUAACUACUGCGAAAGCAUUUGCCAAGGAUGUUUUCAUUAAUCAAGAACGAAAGUUAGGGGAUCGAAGACGAUCAGAUACCGUCGUAGUCUUAACCAUAAACUAUGCCGACUAGGGAUCGGAUGAUGUUAAUUUUUUAAUGACUCAUUCGGCGCCUUACG
This 499-nucleotide ribosomal RNA is filed under the name uncultured Glomeromycotina. Its description in RNAcentral is "partial small subunit ribosomal RNA". It matches the Rfam family "Eukaryotic small subunit ribosomal RNA", at positions 591 to 1092 of the family's 1831-position model. The record is from RNAcentral. Lineage: Eukaryota; Fungi; Glomeromycota.